This 230-nucleotide ribosomal RNA is filed under the name uncultured bacterium. RNAcentral describes it as "partial 16S ribosomal RNA". It matches the Rfam family "Bacterial small subunit ribosomal RNA", at positions 562 to 791 of the family's 1533-position model. The record is from RNAcentral.
AAAGGGUGCGUAGGCGGUUUUCUAAGUCACGUGUGAAAUCUUCUGGCUCAACCAGAAAACUGCGCGUGAAACUAGUCAACUUGAGUGAGGUAGGGGUGUGUGGAACUUCCGGUGGAGCGGUGAAAUGUGUAGAGAUCGGAAGGAACGCCAGCAGCGAAAGCGGCACACUGGGCCUUUUCUGACGCUGAGGCACGAAAGCUAGGGGAGUGAACGGGAUUAGAUACCCGGGU